This is a long non-coding RNA of Sebastes umbrosus (honeycomb rockfish), 451 nucleotides long. RefSeq lists it as uncharacterized. The transcript is spliced from 3 exons. The record is from RefSeq and is a predicted model, not a curated record. Lineage: Eukaryota; Metazoa; Chordata; Actinopteri; Perciformes; Sebastidae.
CUAUGGAUAGGAGGCUGGGUCACGGGCGGACAUCGGUCUUGGAGUAUGGGGUAUAACGCAUGCAUAGUGUAACUGGAGGUUUGGUCGUGCGUUGUGAUUGGCUCACUUUCGGCGAGGGCAGACCAGAUACGUUGAUGACGCGUGACCCAGCCUCCUUCAAUAGGCCUUGAAGCUAACCUGUGGACUUUUUGACCUCUAGCAGCGCUAUAGAGCAGUUUUGCUCACGCGAGCACACGUGUGAUGCGAUACACAGUCCUGUCAGUGAUGUCACACUAUUCCACUGAUCAGCAAGUGAAGGUAACGUGCCAAGAUAUGCUGCAAUGUGCCAACAAAGGCAGGGAAGAAGAAGAAGACUGCAAGCACACGUGGAUGCAAACAGUGCAGGAUGUAAACGGCUAAUGUUUUAUGAGGAAGGACAUGCAUUCAACACAUUUGUUACAAAAUAAUCCAC